Molecule: non-coding RNA, 78 nt
Organism: Desmophyllum pertusum
Lineage: Eukaryota; Metazoa; Cnidaria; Anthozoa; Scleractinia; Caryophylliidae
Source: the annotation of a GenBank genome assembly
AGGGUGGUGGCCCAAUGGUUAGGGUGUUGGACUCUGGAUCAAGUGGUCCAGGUUCGAGCGCUGGCCGUGGUCACGCUA